This 897-nucleotide ribosomal RNA is filed under the name Microbacterium foliorum. Its description in RNAcentral is "bacterial SSU rRNA". It matches the Rfam family "Bacterial small subunit ribosomal RNA", at positions 56 to 963 of the family's 1533-position model. The record is from RNAcentral. Lineage: Bacteria; Bacillati; Actinomycetota; Actinomycetes; Micrococcales; Microbacteriaceae.
UGCAGUCNACGGUGCACACGGAGCUUGCUCUGUGGGAUCAGUGGCGAACGGGUGAGUAACACGUGAGCAACCUGCCCCUGACUCUGGGAUAAGCGCUGGAAACGGCGUCUAAUACUGGAUACGAGUAGCGACCGCAUGGUCAGUUACUGGAAAGAUUUAUUGGUUGGGGAUGGGCUCGCGGCCUAUCAGCUUGUUGGUGAGGUAAUGGCUCACCAAGGCGUCGACGGGUAGCCGGCCUGAGAGGGUGACCGGCCACACUGGGACUGAGACACGGCCCAGACUCCUACGGGAGGCAGCAGUGGGGAAUAUUGCACAAUGGGCGCAAGCCUGAUGCAGCAACGCCGCGUGAGGGAUGACGGCCUUCGGGUUGUAAACCUCUUUUAGCAGGGAAGAAGCGAAAGUGACGGUACCUGCAGAAAAAGCGCCGGCUAACUACGUGCCAGCAGCCGCGGUAAUACGUAGGGCGCAAGCGUUAUCCGGAAUUAUUGGGCGUAAAGAGCUCGUAGGCGGUUUGUCGCGUCUGCUGUGAAAUCCGGAGGCUCAACCUCCGGCCUGCAGUGGGUACGGGCAGACUAGAGUGCGGUAGGGGAGAUUGGAAUUCCUGGUGUAGCGGUGGAAUGCGCAGAUAUCAGGAGGAACACCGAUGGCGAAGGCAGAUCUCUGGGCCGUAACUGACGCUGAGGAGCGAAAGGGUGGGGAGCAAACAGGCUUAGAUACCCUGGUAGUCCACCCCGUAAACGUUGGGAACUAGUUGUGGGGUCCAUUCCACGGAUUCCGUGACGCAGCUAACGCAUUAAGUUCCCCGCCUGGGGAGUACGGCCGCAAGGCUAAAACUCAAAGGAAUUGACGGGGACCCGCACAAGCGGCGGAGCAUGCGGAUUAAUUCGAUGCAACGCG